Molecule: transfer RNA, 74 nt
Filed under: Leucothrix arctica
Lineage: Bacteria; Pseudomonadati; Pseudomonadota; Gammaproteobacteria; Thiotrichales; Thiotrichaceae
Also listed under: 1 other name
Description: Leucothrix sp. IMCC9719 tRNA-Cys
Rfam family: tRNA
About the family: Transfer RNA (tRNA) molecules are approximately 80 nucleotides in length. Their secondary structure includes four short double-helical elements and three loops (D, anti-codon, and T loops).
Source: RNAcentral
GGCUGGAUGACAGAGUGGUGAUGUAGCGGAUUGCAAAUCCGUCAACCCCGGUUCGAUUCCGGGUCUAGCCUCCA